Molecule: ribosomal RNA, 1199 nt
Filed under: Campylobacter jejuni
Lineage: Bacteria; Pseudomonadati; Campylobacterota; Epsilonproteobacteria; Campylobacterales; Campylobacteraceae
Description: partial 23S ribosomal RNA
Rfam family: Bacterial large subunit ribosomal RNA
Source: RNAcentral
AGGUAAGCUACUAAGAGCGAAUGGUGGAUGCCUUGACUGGUAAAGGCGAUGAAGGACGUACUAGACUGCGAUAAGCUACGGGGAGCUGUCAAGAAGCUUUGAUCCGUAGAUUUCCGAAUGGGGCAACCCAAUGUAUAGAGAUAUACAUUACCUAUAUAGGAGCGAACGAGGGGAAUUGAAACAUCUUAGUACCCUCAGGAAAAGAAAUCAAUAGAGAUUGCGUCAGUAGCGGCGAGCGAAAGCGCAAGAGGGCAAACCCAGUGCUUGCACUGGGGGUUGUAGGACUGCAAUGUGCAAGAGGUAAGUUUAGCAGAACAUUCUGGAAAGUAUAACCAUAGAGGGUGAUAGUCCCGUAUGCGAAAAACAAACCUUAGCUAGCAGUAUCCUGAGUAGGGCGGGACACGAGGAAUCCUGUCUGAAUCCGGGUCGACCACGAUCCAACCCUAAAUACUAAUACCAGAUCGAUAGUGCACAAGUACCGUGAGGGAAAGGUGAAAAGAACUGAGGUGAUCAGAGUGAAAUAGAACCUGAAACCAUUUGCUUACAAUCAUUCAGAGCCCUAUGUAGCAAUACAGGGUGAUGGACUGCCUUUUGCAUAAUGAGCCUGCGAGUUGUGGUGUCUGGCAAGGUUAAGCAAACGCGAAGCCGUAGCGAAAGCGAGUCUGAAUAGGGCGCUUAGUCAGAUGCUGCAGACCCGAAACGAAGUGAUCUAUCCAUGAGCAAGUUGAAGCUAGUGUAAGAACUAGUGGAGGACUGAACCCAUAGGCGUUGAAAAGCCCCGGGAUGACUUGUGGAUAGGGGUGAAAGGCCAAUCAAACUUCGUGAUAGCUGGUUCUCUCCGAAAUAUAUUUAGGUAUAGCGUUGUGUCGUAAUAUAAGGGGGUAGAGCACUGAAUGGGCUAGGGCAUACACCAAUGUACCAAACCCUAUCAAACUCCGAAUACCUUAUAUGUAAUCACAGCAGUCAGGCGGCGAGUGAUAAAAUCCGUCGUCAAGAGGGAAACAACCCAGACUACCAGCUAAGGUCCCUAAAUCUUACUUAAGUGGAAAACGAUGUGAAGUUACUUAAACAACCAGGAGGUUGGCUUAGAAGCAGCCAUCCUUUAAAGAAAGCGUAAUAGCUCACUGGUCUAGUGAUUUUGCGCGGAAAAUAUAACGGGGCUAAAGUAAGUACCGAAGCUGUAGACUUAGUUUACUAAG